Molecule: ribosomal RNA, 200 nt
Filed under: uncultured bacterium
Lineage: Bacteria
Description: partial 16S ribosomal RNA
Rfam family: Bacterial small subunit ribosomal RNA
Source: RNAcentral
ACGCUCGACACCUACGGGAUGCAGCAGUCGGGAAUAUUGCGCAAUGGAGGAAACUCUGACGCAGUGACGCCGCGUAUGGGAAGAAGGUUUUCGGAUUGUAAACCAUUUUAGACAAGGAAGAAACAAGACAGUACUUGUAGAAUAAGCUCCGGCUAACUACGUGCCAGCAGCCGCGGUAAUCUGAGGCGGGCUGGCAAGGC